GGGGUACUAGUAAAAUGCCCAUUACACUGCUUUGUCAAGGCAGAAUCGCAAGUUGAAACCCUGCGUACCCCC
This 72-nucleotide transfer RNA is filed under the name Raneya brasiliensis (banded cusk eel). Its description in RNAcentral is "tRNA-ASP". It matches the Rfam family "tRNA". From Rfam's summary of the family: Transfer RNA (tRNA) molecules are approximately 80 nucleotides in length. Their secondary structure includes four short double-helical elements and three loops (D, anti-codon, and T loops). Lineage: Eukaryota; Metazoa; Chordata; Actinopteri; Ophidiiformes; Ophidiidae. The record is from RNAcentral.